UUAGAGUUUGAUCCUGGCUCAAGACGAACGCUGGCGGCGCGCCUAACACAUGCAAGUCGAACGGAGUCAAGUGGAGCUUGCCUUUCUUGACUUAGUGGCGAACGGGUGAGUAACGCGUGAGUAACCUGCCCUGGAGUGGGGGACAACAGUUGGAAACGACUGCUAAUACCGCAUAACCCCACGGAUCCGCAUGGAUCUGAGGGAAAAGGAUUUAUUCGCUUCAGGAUGGACUCGCGUCCAAUUAGCUAGUUGGUGAGGUAACGGCCCACCAAGGCGACGAUUGGUAGCCGGACUGAGAGGUUGAACGGCCACAUUGGGACUGAGACACGGCCCAGACUCCUACGGGAGGCAGCAGUGGGGGAUAUUGCACAAUGGGGGAAACCCUGAUGCAGCGACGCCGCGUGGAGGAAGAAGGUUUUCGGAUUGUAAACUCCUGUCGUUAGGGACGAUAAUGACGGUACCUAACAAGAAAGCACCGGCUAACUACGUGCCAGCAGCCGCGGUAAAACGUAGGGUGCAAGCGUUGUCCGGAAUUACUGGGUGUAAAGGGAGCGCAGGCGGACCGGCAAGUUGGAAGUGAAAACUAUGGGCUCAACCCAUAAAUUGCUUUCAAAACUGCUGGCCUUGAGUAGUGCAGAGGUAGGUGGAAUUCCCGGUGUAGCGGUGGAAUGCGUAGAUAUCGGGAGGAACACCAGUGGCGAAGGCGACCUACUGGGCACCAACUGACGCUGAGGCUCGAAAGCAUGGGUAGCAAACAGGAUUAGAUACCCUGGUAGUCCAUGCCGUAAACGAUGAUUAAUAGGUGUUGGAGGAUUGCCCCCUUUCAGUGCCGCAGUUAACACAAUAAGUAAUCCACCUGGGGAGUACGACCGCAAGGUUGAAACUCAAAGGAAUUGACGGGGGCCCGCACAAGCAGUGGAGUAUGUGGUUUAAUUCGAAGCAACGCGAAGAACCUUACCAGGUCUUGACAUCCGAUGCAUAGUGCAGAGAUGCAUGAAGUCCUUCGGGACAUCGAGACAGGUGGUGCAUGGUUGUCGUCAGCUCGUGUCGUGAGAUGUUGGGUUAAGUCCCGCAACGAGCGCAACCCUUAUUGCCAGUUACUACGCAAGAGGACUCUGGCGAGACUGCCGUUGACAAAACGGAGGAAGGUGGGGAUGACGUCAAAUCAUCAUGCCCUUUAUGACCUGGGCUACACACGUACUACAAUGGCGUUUAACAAAGAGAAGCAAGACCGCGAGGUGGAGCAAAACUCAAAAACAACGUCUCAGUUCAGAUUGCAGGCUGCAACUCGCCUGCAUGAAGUCGGAAUUGCUAGUAAUCGCGGAUCAGCAUGCCGCGGUGAAUACGUUCCCGGGCCUUGCACUCACCGCCC
RNAcentral lists this ribosomal RNA (1372 nucleotides) under uncultured bacterium. Its description in RNAcentral is "16S ribosomal RNA". It matches the Rfam family "Bacterial small subunit ribosomal RNA". The record is from RNAcentral.